Silurus meridionalis is the source of this 2613-nucleotide long non-coding RNA. RefSeq lists it as uncharacterized. The record is from RefSeq and is a predicted model, not a curated record. Lineage: Eukaryota; Metazoa; Chordata; Actinopteri; Siluriformes; Siluridae. The transcript has 3 exons.
GUUCCCAACAAAUCACUGUUUACCACUGUUUCCAGCAACUAACCACCGUUCACCACUGUUACCAACAACUAACCACCGUUCCCAGCAACGAAUCACUGUUCACCACCGUUCCCAGCAACGAAUCACUGUUCACAACUAACCACCGUUCCCAACAACUCGUCACUAACUACAACUGUUCCCAACACAUCUAAUCCUUGUCCUUGAAUUUUCCCAAAAAGUAAACCUUUGUACCCACUUUCUAAUCAGACAUAUUACUGAAAACACCAUUUCUAUUCUUUUUCCGUCGUCUUCAAAAAUAACUAUUCGUAGUUUAUGCAAUAUUUCUGACACUCAAACGGUUACGACACAUGAACGGAUCUGCAAACUGCCAUCAGCAGCCGAAUUCGUACUUUACUAUACUUUCUGAGCGUGCGUUAGCUGCAAAAUAAACGCUUGUCCGACGCUGAAUGUGAACAGAGUCAUGAAUUACCUCGCCAUGAAUCUGGAGGCUAAGCGGCGAGAAGCCCCGCAGAUCCAUUACGCCGCUUAAUGCGGUCCGCGGAAUCUUAAAGUUCAGGAAUAAUGGAGUAAAUGUCAUAACACGAGCCGCAGCCUCCCCGGGAUCGAGCCGGGUUUCCGAGCAAAACUUAUUAGAACAUCCACUACAGUCUCUGUAUAAUCCAAUGAUAAUGUCAGUGUCUGUGCGGAUACUGAAAUCGGCGCACGACAGCCGAUUGCUCAGCCUUAAUAACUUCAUAUGAAAUCACUAAGGCAGGGAAACUUUCAUCAGACGAGUCCGCCGAUGACAUUUAAAACUCGCACCCGAGCAAGUGAAAGGGGCAGAAAGGUUAAGCUGUAUUAAGACCAACAGAAUCCCACCAAAACCCCCCGAACAUCAUGACGCAGCCUCGGCUCUGCUCCUGGAGUGGGUGUAGAUCCUGGAGCUUUGCAUAGUUUUAGAGCUUUAUUACUCCGAAUUUGCUCUCAAACUACAGGAUUUGAGCUCGAGAAAAAGCCAAAAAAUGGGAUAUCCUGAUUAUCCAAGUAAAUCACAGUAUUGGUAAAUCAUAAAGUGGAAAAAUUAGCUUUGUACAGGGGGGAUACAAAUACAAAUAUGCAACAUCGCAUUGACCUGAUGAUUUUUUGCUUUUAGCAAAUUUAUGAUAUAAAGUCACUUUCCGGUCCAACUCACCCCAAACCCAAUUGGACUUAAAUACUGCAUUAGAUUAAUGUAGCAUGAUCCUUACUGGACAGAUAGCUCUUACAGAACCUAGAGGUGUGUUUUGGGGGUCAUUGUCCUGUUCGGGAAAAAUGUCACCAGCAAAGCGUCUCCACAGGAUCACAGCUCCUCCUCACCACACCUUCAGAAACCGUCCGUUUACCCUCCGUAUGUUUAAAACCCAUCAGACAAAAGGACAGUUUUCCACUUAUCUAAUGUCCAUUCCUUGUGUUUCUUGGCCCAAGUAAGUUCCUCUGCUUGUUGCUGCUGUUUUUCCCAAAUGUAAUAUAUCAAUAAAUUGCUCUACUUCCUGACUUAUCGCCUUGUAACUAUGUUCAGGUUAAUGCUGAAUUAUACAAUCGUAUGUUGCUUAUGAUCUGUAUAAUCAUGCAUCUGAUUUUAGCUACAUUUCUUCCAACUCAUGCAGACUCCUCUGAACUCAGACGCAUUCCUGUUAAAUAAACUAUCUUCUGCAGCAGAGGUAGCUCUUGGUCUUCCUUUUCCUAUUCUUAAUGUUAUCGAAAUGUUGCAUAUUGACUGAUCUUCGUUUCUUAGUGUUGGAUCGUCUUUCUCUUUACAUGCCGUGAUGUUGAUCGUACAGUAGUUGUAGCACUAAUUGCCCUACUGAAUCUGUAGCCACCUCUCCUGCGUUCGAGUCUAUAAAGAAACUGAUACUUUUAUUAGUGAAAGCGGCUGGAACUUCCAGUAUGUUAUUUUUUUUUACUCUGACUUCUUGAACAAGCAAAUGUUACAAAGGUUUCUUUAAUUGAACACUGGAAAAACCAUCUGCUGAUGUCAUUUCUUCGCCACAAGAGCAUGACUCAGCCCUGUUUGUUUUGGGACUGUAAGCCUAGCAGAUUUUUUUCAGCAGAUGAAGAAGAGGCCGAGGCUGCUGCCGGCUCAGGGAGUUUCGUGCCUCGCUCGUAUGCCACAGGAGGCCAGUCGAGACGUGAGCUCGAGUCACAGUACGGGUUUUUUAUAGAAGUAGGUCCUGGUAAAUAUGGAGGUUGAUUGAACAGCCUUGAACUUCUUAUCUGUUCCUGAACUAUUGUGUUGCAAUGUGGAUGUGCACAGAUCCUGCUGCAACAGGGCCUUCAGGAGGUGUAACAUUGAAAUAACUUCCACAGGACCCAAGUGUUCUCCGGCAGAACAUCACCGGGAUCUGAUUGAAAGACCUGAGGAGAAUUCAGUUUAACAUCAAGCCACAUCACACACCAGGACUUCAAAUGGGGUCAUUAGGAGUGAUGUAGGUCACAUUCAUUACAUUAAGAUCAGCGUCUUCUUGAAGGAUGAACACAGCAGGUUAAAAGGAGAAACACACUGACCCCCACUAAAGAAAAGAGUACAGAUGGAAAGGGGAAAAAGGAGGAGGAGGAGGAGGACAGGAGUCAGACGGCGUCCGGCUUCUUCUUCCU